This is a long non-coding RNA of Neopsephotus bourkii (Bourke's parrot), 190 nucleotides long. RefSeq lists it as uncharacterized. Lineage: Eukaryota; Metazoa; Chordata; Aves; Psittaciformes; Psittacidae. The transcript has 2 exons. The record is from RefSeq and is a predicted model, not a curated record.
CCAGGAACAGCCAAUGUGGAGCUGCAGUGGGAAUGCUCUGCUGUCAUAGAGGAUUCCCUUCCUCAGAUAAAGGAAACGGGAGAGCUAUCGUCAGCCACAGCCGGUGUAUGGGAUAUUUGACGGCAAACUUCCACAGUACAUAGCAGAAAUACAGCUCAACAGUGUAUUAAUAAAUAUGUACUUACUCAUA